Molecule: long non-coding RNA, 909 nt
Organism: Triticum dicoccoides
Lineage: Eukaryota; Viridiplantae; Streptophyta; Magnoliopsida; Poales; Poaceae
Exons: 3
Source: RefSeq, a predicted model, not a curated record
AACUCAGACAUUAGGAGUAGAGAUGGACGAGUUGGUUGAAUAGUACGGUUUAUUUUCGUCCCACCACUUUCAACCGUUUUUUUUCGCUGGUUUUUUUCGUCUCCCCUCCCACCACCCUACCAGUUUAUCUUUUCACCACUAUUUCCUUAUAAACAAACACUUUCCUACCGUACAAAGAGUCAUAAAUCUAACUUUCCUAACUUAGCCUAAUCAACCGAUCCAUCUCAUUAAUGGAAUUUGCUUUAGGAAACAAAUAAUGGAUUUGAAGGAAACAAAUAAAGGACUUUAGGGGAAAAUCCAAUUGACUAAUCGACAAAUAUGUAUAUGAACCUUCCUUCUUCAAAACUCCACUCGGUCCUGAUGGUAGGUAUCGACGUUGUUUCGUUCGUCCUCCCUCAAACAUGUAAAAAAGGAAACUCCUCCCGCAAAACAGCCAUGAUUCACGGACGCGGGAUCAUUCCCCACCAAGAUUCCCAUCCCUCCGCGAAUCUACACGUCGACAUUUUGCCAUUCACAUCCGCGCCAGAUCCCUCACCGCAUUGUCUCCCCCAUCCCUCAUUGCACCAUGGCAGCUCCCUCCAUAGCACCACAUCGGCUUAUAGUCACGUCGCGCUAGGUAUGGGUCCACGGGAGCUAGCGCCUGGCGGCCCCAGGUCCAGUGUUACUCGUUCCCGCCACCGGCCUCGCCACCUACAUCGACGGCAGAAUCCGCAGCCUCCUCCUUCUAUUGGGCGAUACAAGGAUCCGAUGUUGUGUGCUGCUCCAUCUACACGCCUUCUUUCUUAUAGGAAUCGGCUUCGCAGAUAUUCAGUAGCUGAAGUCUCCCGAUUGAUAACAUACACAUCGAGGCCCGGAUACACAAGAGGCAGUACCAAGCAGCUGCAACUCUCCGGCGACAGCAACGACAAG